Rana temporaria (common frog) is the source of this 555-nucleotide long non-coding RNA. RefSeq lists it as uncharacterized. Lineage: Eukaryota; Metazoa; Chordata; Amphibia; Anura; Ranidae. The transcript is spliced from 4 exons. The record is from RefSeq and is a predicted model, not a curated record.
CGUCAGUGUGUUGUGCACUCCUGUGGAGCUAACUUGUGCUGCUAAGACAGACGAACCAGCUUGUCACAAAUCUGACCAGCCUCCGGUCUCAAGCUAGGCAUAAGCCUCCACAGAUGCUAUACCUGUAUACCUGAGCACUUUGGCCACUUUGCUUCUGGGUGCCGCCCCCUGCCUCUCCGAUGGUUGGGGACUGUGUGAAUCCCAUCUGCAGCGGUUUCUCAUUUUUUCCUGCCUAGGUUAUCCUUUUGGCUGUCAACUUGUGUCCAUCUGGCCUGAUUUUUCAGGCAGGUGAUGGUAUCAGGGUAUUAUACACCCUGUUGUUUGUUUACAUCCACUACGGACCAGCAGAAUCCAAACUCUGAUCUCAACCACCCCUGAAGAAGCCUAACCAGGCGAAAUAUAUAGGGUUUACCAACCGGGUUGUGAUCUCUGCUACAGUAUUUAUGUCUGUUAUGGAAACCUUUUAAUUUUGUUAUACUUGUUCAGGUUGUUUUGAUUUAUGAAUUGGGCUCCGUUAGAGUCUAUGAUAUGUCCUACAACCUGACGCUAUUUUUU